GGCUCAGAUUGAACGCUGGCGGCAGGCUUAACACAUGCAAGUCGAGCGGAUGAAAGUAGCUUGCUACUGGAUUCAGCGGCGGACGGGUGAGUAAUGCUUAGGAAUCUGCCUAUUAGUGGGGGACAACGUUCCGAAAGGAGCGCUAAUACCGCAUACGUCCUACGGGAGAAAGCAGGGGACCUUGGGGCCUUGCGCUAAUAGAUGAGCCUAAGUCGGAUUAGCUAGUUGGUAGGGUAAAGGCCUACCAAGGCGACGAUCUGUAGCGGGUCUGAGAGGAUGAUCCGGCACACUGGGACUGAGACACGGCCCAGACUCCUACGGGAGGCAGCAGUGGGGAAUAUUGGACAAUGGGGGGAACCCUGAUCCAGCCAUGCCGCGUGUGUGAAGAAGGCCUUUUGGUUGUAAAGCACUUUAAGCGAGGAGGAGGCUACCUAGAUUAAUACUUUAGGAUAGUGGACGUUACUCGCAGAAUAAGCACCGGCUAACUCUGUGCCAGCAGCCGCGGUAAUACUGAGGGUGCGAGCGUUAAUCGGAUUUACUGGGCGUAAAGCGUGCGUAGGCGGCCAAUUAAGUCAAAUGUGAAAUCCCCGAGCUUAACUUGGGAAUUGCAUUCGAUACUGGUUGGCUAGAGUAUGGGAGAGGAUGGUAGAAUUCCAGGUGUAGCGGUGAGAUGCGUAGAGAUCUGGAGGAAUACCGAUGGCGAAGGCAGCCAUCUGGCCUAAUACUGACGCUGAGGUACGAAAGCAUGGGGAGCAAACAGGAUUAGAUACCCUGGUAGUCCAUGCCGUAAACGAU
Molecule: ribosomal RNA, 795 nt
Filed under: uncultured Gammaproteobacteria bacterium
Lineage: Bacteria; Pseudomonadati; Pseudomonadota; Gammaproteobacteria
Description: bacterial SSU rRNA
Rfam family: Bacterial small subunit ribosomal RNA
Source: RNAcentral